Molecule: ribosomal RNA, 255 nt
Filed under: uncultured bacterium
Lineage: Bacteria
Description: partial small subunit ribosomal RNA
Rfam family: Bacterial small subunit ribosomal RNA
Source: RNAcentral
AGGACGAACGCUGGCGGCGUGCUUAACACAUGCAAGUCGAGCGGAAAGGCCCUUCGGGGUACUCGAGCGGCGAACGGGUGAGUAACACGUGAGCAACCUGCCCUUAGCUUCGGGAUAGCUCCGGGAAACCGGAAUUAAUACCGAAUAUGACUUUGGCUGACAUCAGCAGAAGUGGUAAAGUUUUUCGGCUAGGGAUGGACUCGCGGCCUAUCAGCUAGUUGGUGAGGUAACGGCCCACCAAGGCGACGACGGGUA